This 746-nucleotide small RNA is filed under the name Pan troglodytes (chimpanzee). RNAcentral's name for it is "retained intron". The record is from RNAcentral. Lineage: Eukaryota; Metazoa; Chordata; Mammalia; Primates; Hominidae.
GUUGAUAUUGGUCACUCAGUAUCAGAGAAAGAGUUAUGCCAUUUUUACUCCUUUGGGUAAAAUCAAUUUUAACUAGCAUCCUAUUUUUAAAAACCUUUCAAUGGCCUUUUUUCCCAGAUGAUGAAGAAGUUACACCAGCAAGAGCUGUAUCUCGUCAUUUUGAGGAUACUAGUUAUGGCUAUAAAGAUUUCUCUAGACAUGGGAUGCAUGUUCCAACAUUUCGUGUCCAGGACUAUUGCUGGGAAGAUCAUGGUUAUUCUUUGGUAAAUCGCCUUUAUCCAGAUGUGGGACAGUUGAUUGAUGAAAAAUUUCACAUUGCUUACAAUCUUACUUAUAAUACAAUGGCAAUGCACAAAGAUGUUGAUACCUCAAUGCUUAGACGGGCAAUUUGGAACUAUAUUCACUGCAUGUUUGGAAUAAGAUAUGAUGAUUAUGACUAUGGUGAAAUUAACCAGCUAUUGGAUCGUAGCUUUAAAAUUUAUAUCAAAACUGUUGUUUGCACUCCUGAAAAGGUUACCAAAAGAAUGUAUGAUAGCUUCUGGAGGCAGUUCAAGCACUCUGAGAAGGUAUGUGCCUAUUGUGGCUUGUUUACUUUGUAACUUAGCAAUGAUUCGUAGUCUCCUUCACCUAACCUAAUGGUGCUGAAACCCUUUCCAUCACCCCUACCAACCCAAAGAAAAACAUUCCAGGACAGCUGUCUCAGGUACCCCUUCAGAAGGGAACCUGAUUAUGUUGAUAGAGUAAAA